GACGAACGCUGGCGGCGUGCUUAACACAUGCAAGUCGAACGGAAAGGCCCUGCUUUUGUGGGGUGCUCGAGUGGCGAACGGGUGAGUAACACGUGAGUAACCUGCCCUUGACUUUGGGAUAACUUCAGGAAACUGGGGCUAAUACCGGAUAUGAGCUCCUGCUGCAUGGUGGGGGUUGGAAAGUUUCGGCGGUUGGGGAUGGACUCGCGGCUUAUCAGCUUGUUGGUGGGGUAGUGGCGUACCAAGGCUUUGACGGGUAGCCGGCCUGAGAGGGUGACCGGCCACAUUGGGACUGAGAUACGGCCCAGACUCCUACGGGAGGCAGCAGUGGGGAAUAUUGCACAAUGGGCGGAAGCCUGAUGCAGCAACGCCGCGUGCGGGAUGACGGCCUUCGGGUUGUAAACCGCUUUCGCCUGUGACGAAGCGUGAGUGACGGUAAUGGGUAAAGAAGCAUCGGCUAACUACGUG
This 468-nucleotide ribosomal RNA is filed under the name uncultured bacterium. Its description in RNAcentral is "partial 16S ribosomal RNA". It matches the Rfam family "Bacterial small subunit ribosomal RNA", at positions 28 to 507 of the family's 1533-position model. The record is from RNAcentral.